This 28-nucleotide non-coding RNA is filed under the name Rattus norvegicus (Norway rat). The record is from RNAcentral. Lineage: Eukaryota; Metazoa; Chordata; Mammalia; Rodentia; Muridae.
UGCCCAAAGUGUUACAGGUCUUAGAAAA